UGACGCUGAGGCUCGAAAGCGCGGGUAUCAAACAGGAUUAGAUACCCUGGUAGUCCGCGCCGUAAACGAUGAGUGCCCCGCUUUUGGCGAUACAAUGUCAGAGGCCAAGCGAAAAGCAUUAAGCACUCCACCUGGGGAGUACGCCGGCAACGGUGAAACUCAAAGGAAUUGACGGGGGCCCGCACAAGCGGAGGAACAUGUGGUUUAAUUCGAUGAUACGCGAGGAACCUUACCCGGGCUUGAAUUGCACAGGAAGGGGAGCAGAGACGCUCCUCGUCUUCGGACCUGUGUGAAGGUGCUGCAUGGUUGUCGUCAGCUCGUGCCGUGAGGUGUCGGCUUAAGUGCCAUAACGAGCGCAACCCUUUCGGGUAGUUGCCAUCAGGUGAUGCUGGGCACUCUGCCCGUACUGCCAUCGCAAGAUGUGAGGAAGGUGGGGAUGACGUCAAAUCAGCACGGCCUUAACGUCCGGGGCUACACACGUGUUACAAUGGGGGGCACAGAGAGCAGCUUACGGGUGACCGUUGGCGAAUCUAUAAAUCCCCUCUCAGUUCGGACUGGAGUCUGCAACCCGACUCCACGAAGCUGGAUUCGCUAGAAUCG
RNAcentral lists this ribosomal RNA (600 nucleotides) under uncultured bacterium. Its description in RNAcentral is "bacterial SSU rRNA". It matches the Rfam family "Bacterial small subunit ribosomal RNA", at positions 741 to 1343 of the family's 1533-position model. The record is from RNAcentral.